This is a microRNA precursor of Oryctolagus cuniculus (rabbit), 59 nucleotides long. NCBI's taxonomy places the organism in Eukaryota, Metazoa, Chordata, Mammalia, Lagomorpha, Leporidae. The record is from Ensembl.
CAUGCCUUGAGUGUAGGACUGUUGGAAUCUUAAUUACCCUCCCACACCCAAGGCUUGCA